UGGGGGAUCGUUCAAUGGUAGGACAGCAGAUUCUGGCUCUGCAUAUCGGGGUUCGAAUCCCUGUCCCCCAGC
Molecule: transfer RNA, 72 nt
Filed under: Deltaproteobacteria bacterium ADurb.Bin207
Lineage: Bacteria; Deltaproteobacteria
Description: tRNA-Gln
Rfam family: tRNA
About the family: Transfer RNA (tRNA) molecules are approximately 80 nucleotides in length.
Source: RNAcentral